This 253-nucleotide ribosomal RNA is filed under the name uncultured bacterium. Its description in RNAcentral is "partial 16S ribosomal RNA". It matches the Rfam family "Bacterial small subunit ribosomal RNA", at positions 524 to 776 of the family's 1533-position model. The record is from RNAcentral.
UACGAAGGGUGCAAGCGUUACUCGGAAUUACUGGGCGUAAAGCGUGCGUAGGUGGUUCGUUAAGUCUGAUGUGAAAGCCCUGGGCUCAACCUGGGAAUGGCAUUGGAUACUGGCGACCUAGAGUGCGGUAGAGGGGUGUGGAAUUCCCGGUGUAGCAGUGAAAUGCGCAGAUAUCAGGAAGAACACCAAUGGCGAAGGCAGCUCUCUGGGACGGUACUGACGCUGAGACGCGAAAGCGUGGGGAGCGAACAGG